Molecule: ribosomal RNA, 357 nt
Filed under: uncultured bacterium
Lineage: Bacteria
Description: bacterial SSU rRNA
Rfam family: Bacterial small subunit ribosomal RNA
Source: RNAcentral
AACGAACGCUGGCGGCAUGCCUAACACAUGCAAGUCGAACGAAGCCUUCGGGCUUAGUGGCGCACGGGUGCGUAACGCGUGGGAACCUACCAUCAGGUUCGGAAUAACAGUUAGAAAUGACUGCUAAUACCGGAUAAUGUCUUCGGACCAAAGAUUUAUCGCCUUUUGAUGGGCCCGCGUUGGAUUAGCUAGUUGGUGGGGUAAAGGACCUACCAAGGCGACGAUCCAUAGCUGGUCUGAGAGGAUGAUCAGCCACACUGGGACUGAGACACGGCCCAGACUCCUACGGGAGGCAGCAGUGGGGAAUAUUGGACAAUGGGCGAAAGCCUGAUCCAGCAAUGCCGCGUGAGUGAUGAA